This 164-nucleotide non-coding RNA is filed under the name uncultured Sutterella sp. Lineage: Bacteria; Pseudomonadati; Pseudomonadota; Betaproteobacteria; Burkholderiales; Sutterellaceae. The record is from RNAcentral.
CGUCGUGAGGCGGGAUCUGAAAGAAGCCCGAGGCAAACCGUUGACCUGACGAACAGAAACCGCAUCAGGCAUUCGAGGGUGGAUAAACCUGCAAGACAAGGUGAAGUCCUACAGCUACACGGACCCGAGGUGUAAAUGCGGCAGGUACAUGACGGGAAAGAACG